Molecule: non-coding RNA, 149 nt
Organism: Malus domestica (apple)
Lineage: Eukaryota; Viridiplantae; Streptophyta; Magnoliopsida; Rosales; Rosaceae
Source: RefSeq, a predicted model, not a curated record
GUAUUUCCGAUUUUAUCUAAUCUAUCGGGAGGCCUAUUUCAGCAUCACAAACUUUUUUGUUUUCACGCCGAGAGGCUCUUAACAAUAUUUAGGUUAUGAAAGAAUAUGAAAAUAAAAAAAAAAAAUUUUUUUUAUUUGAAAAAAAAAAA